ACAGCAUCAGCUCUGCUCUCAUUCUUGCCGAGACUCUCGAAUCGUCAAUCAGCUCUCGCAUCUGUUCUUCGACCUAUAUCACGUUCAUUAUCGCUCGUCCACCGAAUGAACCUCGGCAUCAAAUCUGCUCUGAUAUACAUUCAACUUCGGCCUCUCUCUUCUCCUCAUAAUCGAAUUCACUACAUUCAGAUGGCAGGUAAGCAGAACCAGAAUACAGUUGAAUAUGGCCCUGCUAAUCAGGAGAAAACUAAUGAUCAUGUUAUCGAUGGAAAACAUCGGUGUCCAUACGUUUGCUUUUCUUCCCAACUAGCCGAUUCCCAAGCUUGACUCUAAUAAGUGAAAUGGAUUUGUGAAGCGGGGUUCUUUCAAGGGGAAGUAAACUAAUAAAGUGGAGGACAAGGAAAAUAUGUUGAGGUUGAUGGUAGCGACAAGUCAAAGAAGAGGGGCGGAACUGGAUUUCAGGUUGGGAAGAGAAAAGUGAAGACUAAACUGACGGCUGUAGCUAAAGCUAAAGCUGCACAGGCAAUGUAGCUUGACAAAUGAAGUUUGAGUAGUUUAUGAUAAUACGUUUAGCUUCACGAGUCUUAAAGUUGUUCUGCGGUUGAAUAUUUAUUCCAGUUUUUUAGUAGUUUAUGAUAAUACGGCUGAGAUUAAUUGUAUAGCAGCUUUCUGUCUCGCAGUUUUC
Prosopis cineraria is the source of this 685-nucleotide long non-coding RNA. RefSeq lists it as uncharacterized. The transcript has 3 exons. Lineage: Eukaryota; Viridiplantae; Streptophyta; Magnoliopsida; Fabales; Fabaceae. The record is from RefSeq and is a predicted model, not a curated record.